UACGGAGGGGGCUAGCGUUGUUCGGAAUUACUGGGCGUAAAGCGCGCGUAGGCGGCUUUGUAAGUUAGAGGUGAAAGCCCGGGGCUCAACUCCGGAAUUGCCUUUAAGACUGCAUCGCUAGAAUCGUGGAGAGGUAAGUGGAAUUCCGAGUGUAGAGGUGAAAUUCGUAGAUAUUCGGAAGAACACCAGUGGCGAAGGCGACUUACUGGACACGUAUUGACGCUGAGGUGCGAAAGCGUGGGGAGCAAACAGG
Molecule: ribosomal RNA, 253 nt
Filed under: uncultured bacterium
Lineage: Bacteria
Description: partial 16S ribosomal RNA
Rfam family: Bacterial small subunit ribosomal RNA
Source: RNAcentral